GUCAGGAUGGCCGAGCGGUCUAAGGCGCUGCAUUCAGGUUGCAGUCUCACAGGGAGGCGUGGGUUCGAGUCCCACUCCUGACA
This 83-nucleotide transfer RNA is filed under the name Nipponia nippon (crested ibis). It matches the Rfam family "tRNA". From Rfam's summary of the family: Transfer RNA (tRNA) molecules are approximately 80 nucleotides in length. Their secondary structure includes four short double-helical elements and three loops (D, anti-codon, and T loops). Further hydrogen bonds mediate the characteristic L-shaped molecular structure. tRNAs have two regions of fundamental functional importance: the anti-codon, which is responsible for specific mRNA codon recognition, and the 3' end, to which the tRNAs corresponding amino acid is attached (by aminoacyl-tRNA synthetases). tRNAs cope with the degeneracy of the genetic code in two manners: having more than one tRNA (with a specific anti-codon) for a particular amino acid; and 'wobble' base-pairing, i.e. permitting non-standard base-pairing at the 3rd anti-codon position. The record is from Rfam by way of RNAcentral. Lineage: Eukaryota; Metazoa; Chordata; Aves; Pelecaniformes; Threskiornithidae.